AGGACGAACGCUGGCGGCGUGCUUAACACAUGCAAGUUGAACGGUAUGACGAUGGAAGCUGCUGAAGUGUCAUAUAGUAGCGGACGGGUGAGUAAUGCAUGAGAAGCUGCCAUUGGAGGGGGACAACAGUUGGAAACGGCUGCUAAUACCCCGUAUGCCGGAAGGUGAAAGGGAGCGAUCCGCCCGAUGAGGUGCUCAUGUCCUAUCAGCUGGUUGGUGGGGUAACGGCCUACCAAGGCGACGACGGGUAGCCGGCCUGAGAGGGUGAACGGCCACACUGGAACUGAGAUACGGUCCAGACUCCUACGGGAGGCAGCAGUGGGGAAUAUUGGGGCCAAUGGGGGGCAACCCUGACCCAGCGACGCCGCGUGGGGGAAGACGGCCUUCGGGUUGUAAACCUCUUUUGUACGGGAAGAAGGAAGUGACGGUACUGUACGAAUAAGUCCCGGCUAACUACGUGCCAGCCGCCGC
This 471-nucleotide ribosomal RNA is filed under the name uncultured bacterium. RNAcentral describes it as "bacterial SSU rRNA". It matches the Rfam family "Bacterial small subunit ribosomal RNA", at positions 26 to 518 of the family's 1533-position model. The record is from RNAcentral.